This 1383-nucleotide ribosomal RNA is filed under the name uncultured Burkholderia sp. RNAcentral describes it as "bacterial SSU rRNA". It matches the Rfam family "Bacterial small subunit ribosomal RNA", at positions 73 to 1430 of the family's 1533-position model. The record is from RNAcentral. Lineage: Bacteria; Pseudomonadati; Pseudomonadota; Betaproteobacteria; Burkholderiales; Burkholderiaceae.
CGGGUGCUUGCACCUGGUGGCGAGUGGCGAACGGGUGAGUAAUACAUCGGAACAUGUCCUGUAGUGGGGGAUAGCCCGGCGAAAGCCGGAUUAAUACCGCAUACGAUCUACGGAUGAAAGCGGGGGACCUUCGGGCCUCGCGCUAUAGGGUUGGCCGAUGGCUGAUUAGCUAGUUGGUGGGGUAAAGGCCUACUAAGGCGACGAUCAGUAGCUGGUCUUGAGAGGACGACCAGCCACACUGGGGACUGAGACACGGCCCCAGACUCCUACGGGAGGCAGCAAUGGGGAAUUUUGGACAAUGGGCGAAAGCCUGAUCCAGCAAUGCCGCGUGUGUGAAGAAGGCCUUCGGGUUGUAAAGCACUUUUGUCCGGAAAGAAAUCCUUGGCUCUAAUACAGUCGGGGGAUGACGGUACCGGAAGAAUAAGCACCGGCUAACUACGUGCCAGCAGCCGCGGUAAUACGUAGGGUGCGAGCGUUAAUCGGAAUUACUGGGCGUAAAGCGUGCGCAGGCGGUUUGCUAAGACCGAUGUGAAAUCCCCGGGCUCAACCUGGGAACUGCAUUGGUGACUGGCAGGCUAGAGUAUGGCAGAGGGGGGUAGAAUUCCACGUGUAGCAGUGAAAUGCGUAGAGAUGUGGAGGGAUACCGAUGGCGAAGGCAGCCCCCUGGGCCAAUACUGACGCUCAUGCACGAAAGCGUGGGGAGCAAACAGGAUUAGAUACCCUGGUAGUCCACGCCCUAAACGAUGUCAACUAGUUGUUGGGGAUUCAUUUCCUUAGUAACGUAGCUAACGCGUGAAGUUGACCGCCUGGGGAGUACGGUCGCAAGAUUAAAACUCAAAGGAAUUGACGGGGGCCCGCACAAGCGGUGGAGCAUGUGGUUUAAUUCGAUGCAACGCGAAGAACCUUACCUACUCUUGACAUCCAGAGAACUUUCCAGAGAUGGAUUGGUGCCUUCGGGAACUCUGAGACAGGUGCUGCAUGGCUGUCGUCAGCUCGUGUUGUGAAAUGUUGGGUUAAGUCCCGCAACGAGCGCAACCCUUAUCCUUUGUUGCCACCGGUUCCGCCCGGGAACUCAAAGGAGAACUUGCCAGUUGAUAAACUGGGAGGAAAGUGGGGGGAUAAACGUCAAGUCAUCAUUGGGCCCUUACAAAUUAGGGCUUACACACGUGGCUAAAAUAGGCGGUAUACCAAAAGAAAAACGAAACCUCGCGAAGGCGAAGCGGACCUCAUAAAGUACGUCGUAGUCCGGAUUGGAGUCUGCAACUCGACUCCAUGAAGUCGGAAUCGCUAGUAAUCGUAGAUCAGAAUGCUACGGUGAAUACGUUCCCGGGCCUUGUACACACCGCCCGUCACACCAUGGGAGUGGGUUGCCCAAGAAGUAAG